GAUGAAGAACGUAGCGAAAUGCGAUACUUGGUGUGAAUUGCAGAAUCCCGUGAACCAUCGAGUCUUUGAACGCAAGUUGCGCCCGAAGCCAUUAGGCCGAGGGCACGCCUGCCUGGGCGUCACACGUCGUUGCCCCCCCAUCUACUCCUUCGGGAUUGCGGGGGGCGGAUGAUGGCCUCCCGUGCGCCUCGUCGCGCGGUUGGCAUAAAUGCCAAGUCCUCGGCGACACACGCCACGACAAUCGGUGGUUGCGAAACCUCGGUUGCCCGUCGUGUGCGGUCGUCGCGCAUCGAGGGCUCGAAAAAAUUGUCGGGCUCCGGCUCGGCUUUCAACGCGACCCCAGGUCAGGCGGGGUUACCCGCUGAAUUUAAGCAUAUCAAUAAGCGGAGGA
RNAcentral lists this unclassified non-coding RNA (391 nucleotides) under soil metagenome. Its description in RNAcentral is "partial contains 5.8S ribosomal RNA, internal transcribed spacer 2, and large subunit ribosomal RNA". The stretch from base 1 to 122 matches the Rfam family "5.8S ribosomal RNA", at positions 35 to 154 of the family's 154-position model. The record is from RNAcentral.